GACGAACCGUGCGAACGUUAUUCGGAAUCACUGGGCUUAAAGCGCGUGUAGGCGGGCCGCCACGUCGGCUGCUGAAAUCCCCCGGCUCGACCGGGGAAGUGGCACCGAUACGAGCGGCCUCGAGGGGGGUAGGGGGGUCUGGAACUUCCGGUGGAGCGGUGAAAUGCGUUGAGAUCGGAAGGAACGCCCGUGGCGAAAGCGAGGCCCUGGACCCUUACUGACGCUGAGACGCGAAAGCCAGGGGAGCGAACGGG
This 254-nucleotide ribosomal RNA is filed under the name uncultured bacterium. RNAcentral describes it as "partial 16S ribosomal RNA". It matches the Rfam family "Bacterial small subunit ribosomal RNA", at positions 524 to 776 of the family's 1533-position model. The record is from RNAcentral.